AGCAGCCGCGGUAAUUCCAGCUCCAAUAGCGUAUAUUAAAGUUGUUGCAGUUAAAAAGCUCGUAGUUGAAUUUCGGGAUCAAAGAAUCGGUCAUGCCUUGGUAUGUACUGGUUUUAUUGGUUCUCACCUUCUAAAGAACCAUGAUGUCAUUCAUUUGAUGUUAUGGGGAAUUAGGACUGUUACCUUGAAAAAAUUAGAGUGUUUAAAGCAAGCUUACGCUUGAAUACAUUAGCAUGGAAUAAUGAAAUAGGACAUCAGAUUCUAUUUUGUUGGUUUCUAGGAUCGAUGUAAUGAUUAAUAGGGAUAGUUGGGGGCAUUAGUAUUCAAUUGUCAGAGGUGAAAUUCUUGGAUUUAUUGAAGACUAACUACUGCGAAAGCAUUUGCCAAGGAUGUUUUCAUUAAUCAAGAACGAGAGUUAGGGGAUCGAAGACGAUCAGAUACCGUCGUAGUCUUAACCAUAAACUAUGCCGACUAGGGAUCGGAUGAUGUUAAUUUUUUAAUGACUCAUUCGGCGCCUUAC
This 520-nucleotide unclassified non-coding RNA is filed under the name uncultured Glomus. Its description in RNAcentral is "SSU rRNA". It matches the Rfam family "Eukaryotic small subunit ribosomal RNA", at positions 569 to 1091 of the family's 1831-position model. The record is from RNAcentral. Lineage: Eukaryota; Fungi; Glomeromycota; Glomeromycetes; Glomerales; Glomeraceae.